Molecule: long non-coding RNA, 1263 nt
Organism: Pungitius pungitius (ninespine stickleback)
Lineage: Eukaryota; Metazoa; Chordata; Actinopteri; Perciformes; Gasterosteidae
Exons: 4
Source: RefSeq, a predicted model, not a curated record
CAAAAAAAGGAUAUUGGCUGGUUGUUACAUUUACUAAUGUGUAACAUGUAGAAUGAACGAUAUUCAUUAAUGUUUUCAAUGUGAACGUGAUUCAGUCAUGUAGGAUUGGCAUGAACUUCAAAAACGUAACGUUUAUUAGAUCCAUUCAUGUUGCGAUUAACUGAGACAAUCGAGUAGCCAGGCAUGACCGCGAAAACCAAGGCGAAGGCAGUCUUCGUCAGAACCAGAUUAAGAAGAUACACCGUUGGCCGCACAUGGAAAAGCAAUUUCUGACUGCAAAAGUGUCCUGUGUCUGCUAUCCCCCAAAGUGUGUCUUGGAUCAACCUCACUGACUACACCAUCCCACUACAAGUCUCCUGGAAUUCAAGAGAAUCACAACAAUCAAUUUGCAGUCAAAGUUCUUCUCCCAGCUGGAUCUGUACUCUGAAAACCUGAUCCAGGUGUAUGCCAAGAAAAGUGGAGUUCAAGGGAGAAAGAUCAAGAGCAUCAUGGUACCCAUAACCCAGACUGCCAGCAUUGACGUCAGACGAGAAUGCGUCCUCAAAGGUCUAUGUGUUUACUUGAACGAAAAUCCAGAGAAGCUGGUGAAGGAAUACACGAAUAUUGAAAGCAGUCAAACAGCUAUGGCGGAGACAGUCUUUGCAAUCCAUGUGAUUCGAAAAGAAGGAGCGGAGCCCAGUGAUGACCCAGAUGAAGUCGGAGUCAUUCUGGAGGGGGUGGAAGUGCUGAGCGAGUUGGGAAAUGUACCCUUUGCAGUGUCAAUGUUGCUUGCGCUUGUGUAUGCUCUCAACUUGAGCUACCCUCCAGAGCUCAAGUAUACUUUUGAAGUUCUGCAGAAAAUAAUAAUGGAACUAGACCCAAACAAACUAUCCAUAAAAGGACAAGCUCUCAAAAUAAAGCUAUCCCGUUAGACACAUUAUGAUGGCUAAAGCAGAUUAGACACUUCUGUGUGUGUUUAUUAUUUUCUGUAUUCCUGCGUGUUCACCAGUGCAUUAAUUAAGUAAUCACAAGUCUUUAAGAUGAAUGUUGUGAAUGUAAGAGGAUAAGAGGGAUGUUUGUACAAAGACAAAGUCUUCAGAGUUCAGGUCAAGACUGCACUAAUAACCACUGUUAGCACUUUCAAAAAUGUAUUUUAAUUGUGUAUGUGUCAUAGAAAGUUGAGAAAAGGUUUUGAUAUGUAUGUUUAUAAGAGAAGCUGCUCAUUAAAACAUUAUUCAGUGCCUACUUUGAGAAAUACAGUUGUAUUGCAACAUCUCUCGUUUG